Molecule: ribosomal RNA, 2261 nt
Filed under: Staphylococcus aureus
Lineage: Bacteria; Bacillati; Bacillota; Bacilli; Caryophanales; Staphylococcaceae
Description: bacterial LSU rRNA
Rfam family: Bacterial large subunit ribosomal RNA
Source: RNAcentral
AGAUUAAGUUAUUAAGGGCGCACGGUGGAUGCCUUGGCACUAGAAGCCGAUGAAGGACGUUACUAACGACGAUAUGCUUUGGGGAGCUGUAAGUAAGCUUUGAUCCAGAGAUUUCCGAAUGGGGAAACCCAGCAUGAGUUAUGUCAUGUUAUCGAUAUGUGAAUACAUAGCAUAUCAGAAGGCACACCCGGAGAACUGAAACAUCUUAGUACCCGGAGGAAGAGAAAGAAAAUUCGAUUCCCUUAGUAGCGGCGAGCGAAACGGGAAGAGCCCAAACCAACAAGCUUGCUUGUUGGGGUUGUAGGACACUCUAUACGGAGUUACAAAGGACGACAUUAGACGAAUCAUCUGGAAAGAUGAAUCAAAGAAGGUAAUAAUCCUGUAGUCGAAAAUGUUGUCUCUCUUGAGUGGAUCCUGAGUACGACGGAGCACGUGAAAUUCCGUCGGAAUCUGGGAGGACCAUCUCCUAAGGCUAAAUACUCUCUAGUGACCGAUAGUGAACCAGUACCGUGAGGGAAAGGUGAAAAGCACCCCGGAAGGGGAGUGAAAUAGAACCUGAAACCGUGUGCUUACAAGUAGUCAGAGCCCGUUAAUGGGUGAUGGCGUGCCUUUUGUAGAAUGAACCGGCGAGUUACGAUUUGAUGCAAGGUUAAGCAGUAAAUGUGGAGCCGUAGCGAAAGCGAGUCUGAAUAGGGCGUUUAGUAUUUGGUCGUAGACCCGAAACCAGGUGAUCUACCCUUGGUCAGGUUGAAGUUCAGGUAACACUGAAUGGAGGACCGAACCGACUUACGUUGAAAAGUGAGCGGAUGAACUGAGGGUAGCGGAGAAAUUCCAAUCGAACCUGGAGAUAGCUGGUUCUCUCCGAAAUAGCUUUAGGGCUAGCCUCAAGUGAUGAUUAUUGGAGGUAGAGCACUGUUUGGACGAGGGGCCCCUCUCGGGUUACCGAAUUCAGACAAACUCCGAAUGCCAAUUAAUUUAACUUGGGAGUCAGAACAUGGGUGAUAAGGUCCGUGUUCGAAAGGGAAACAGCCCAGACCACCAGCUAAGGUCCCAAAAUAUAUGUUAAGUGGAAAAGGAUGUGGCGUUGCCCAGACAACUAGGAUGUUGGCUUAGAAGCAGCCAUCAUUUAAAGAGUGCGUAAUAGCUCACUAGUCGAGUGACACUGCGCCGAAAAUGUACCGGGGCUAAACAUAUUACCGAAGCUGUGGAUUGUCCUUUGGACAAUGGUAGGAGAGCGUUCUAAGGGCGUUGAAGCAUGAUCGUAAGGACAUGUGGAGCGCUUAGAAGUGAGAAUGCCGGUGUGAGUAGCGAAAGACGGGUGAGAAUCCCGUCCACCGAUUGACUAAGGUUUCCAGAGGAAGGCUCGUCCGCUCUGGGUUAGUCGGGUCCUAAGCUGAGGCCGACAGGCGUAGGCGAUGGAUAACAGGUUGAUAUUCCUGUACCACCUAUAAUCGUUUUAAUCGAUGGGGGGACGCAGUAGGAUAGGCGAAGCGUGCGAUUGGAUUGCACGUCUAAGCAGUAAGGCUGAGUAUUAGGCAAAUCCGGUACUCGUUAAGGCUGAGCUGUGAUGGGGAGAAGACAUUGUGUCUUCGAGUCGUUGAUUUCACACUGCCGAGAAAAGCCUCUAGAUAGAAAAUAGGUGCCCGUACCGCAAACCGACACAGGUAGUCAAGAUGAGAAUUCUAAGGUGAGCGAGCGAACUCUCGUUAAGGAACUCGGCAAAAUGACCCCGUAACUUCGGGAGAAGGGGUGCUCUUUAGGGUUAACGCCCAGAAGAGCCGCAGUGAAUAGGCCCAAGCGACUGUUUAUCAAAAACACAGGUUUCUGCUAAACCGUAAGGUGAUGUAUAGGGGCUGACGCCUGCCCGGUGCUGGAAGGUUAAGAGGAGUGGUUAGCUUCUGCGAAGCUACGAAUCGAAGCCCCAGUAAACGGCGGCCGUAACUAUAACGGUCCUAAGGUAGCGAAAUUCCUUGUCGGGUAAGUUCCGACCCGCACGAAAGGCGUAACGAUUUGGGCACUGUCUCAACGAGAGACUCGGUGAAAUCAUAGUACCUGUGAAGAUGCAGGUUACCCGCGACAGGACGGAAAGACCCCGUGGAGCUUUACUGUAGCCUGAUAUUGAAAUUCGGCACAGCUUGUACAGGAUAGGUAGGAGCCUUUGAAACGUGAGCGCUAGCUUACGUGGAGGCGCUGGUGGGAUACUACCCUAGCUGUGUUGGCUUUCUAACCCGCACCACUUAUCGUGGUGGGAGACAGUGUCA